CGGAUAAUAUUUUGAACCGCAUGGUUCAAAAGUGAAAGACGGUCUUGCUGUCACUUAUAGAUGGAUCCGCGCUGCAUUAGCUAGUUGGUAAGGUAACGGCUUACCAAGGCAACGAUGCAUAGCCGACCUGAGAGGGUGAUCGGCCACACUGGAACUGAGACACGGUCCAGACUCCUACGGGAGGCAGCAGUAGGGAAUCUUCCGCAAUGGGCGAAAGCCUGACGGAGCAACGCCGCGUGAGUGAUGAAGGUCUUCGGAUCGUAAAACUCUGUUAUUAGGGAAGAACAUAUGUGUAAGUAACUGUGCACAUCUUGACGGUACCUAAUCAGAAAGCCACGGCUAACUACGUGCCAGCAGCCGCGGUAAUACGUAGGUGGCAAGCGUUAUCCGGAAUUAUUGGGCGUAAAGCGCGCGUAGGCGGUUUUUUAAGUCUGAUGUGAAAGCCCACGGCUCAACCGUGGAGGGUCAUUGGAAACUGGAAAACUUGAGUGCAGAAGAGGAAAGUGGAAUUCCAUGUGUAGCGGUGAAAUGCGCAGAGAUAUGGAGGAACACCAGUGGCGAAGGCGACUUUCUGGUCUGUAACUGACGCUGAUGUGCGAAAGCGUGGGGAUCAAACAGGAUUAGAUACCCUGGUAGUCCACGCCGUAAACGAUGAGUGCUAAGUGUUAGGGGGUUUCCGCCCCUUAGUGCUGCAGCUAACGCAUUAAGCACUCCGCCUGGGGAGUACGACCGCAAGGUUGAAACUCAAAGGAAUUGACGGGGACCCGCACAAGCGGUGGAGCAUGUGGUUUAAUUCGAAGCAACGCGAAGAACCUUACCAAAUCUUGACAUCCUUUGACAACUCUAGAGAUAGAGCCUUCCCCUUCGGGGGACAAAGUGACAGGUGGUGCAUGGUUGUCGUCAGCUCGUGUCGUGAGAUGUUGGGUUAAGUCCCGCAACGAGCGCAACCCUUAAGCUUAGUUGCCAUCAUUAAGUUGGGCACUCUAAGUUGACUGCCGGUGACAAACCGGAGGAAGGUGGGGAUGACGUCAAAUCAUCAUGCCCCUUAUGAUUUGGGCUACACACGUGCUACAAUGGACAAUACAAAGGGCAGCGAAACCGCGAGGUCAAGCAAAUCCCAUAAAGUUGUUCUCAGUUCGGAUUGUAGUCUGCAACUCGACUACAUGAAGCUGGAAUCGCUAGUAAUCGUAGAUCAGCAUGCUACGGUGAAUACGUUCCCGGGUCUUGUACACACCGCCCGUCACACCACGAGAGUUUGUAACACCCGAAGCCGGUGGAGUAACCUUUUAGGAGCUAGCCGUCGAAGGUGGGACAAAUGAUUGGGGUGAAGUCGUAACAAGGUAGCCGUAUCGGAAGGUGCGGCUGGAUCACCUCCUUU
RNAcentral lists this ribosomal RNA (1378 nucleotides) under Staphylococcus aureus. RNAcentral's name for it is "bacterial SSU rRNA". It matches the Rfam family "Bacterial small subunit ribosomal RNA", at positions 170 to 1533 of the family's 1533-position model. Lineage: Bacteria; Bacillati; Bacillota; Bacilli; Caryophanales; Staphylococcaceae. The record is from RNAcentral.